GACGAACGCUGGCGGCGUGCCUAAUACAUGCAAGUCGAACGCAUUUUCUUUCACCGUAGCUUGCUACACCGAAAGAAAAUGAGUGGCGAACGGGUGAGUAACACGUCGGUAACCUGCCCAACAGCGGGGGAUAACACUUGGAAACAGGUGCUAAUACCGCAUAAUUCCAUUUACCGCAUGGUAGAUGGAUGAAAGGCGCUUUUGCGUCACCUAUGGAUGGACCCGCGGUGCAUUAGCUAGAUGGUGGGGUAACGGGCUACCAAGGCUGCGAUGCAUAGCCGACCUGAGAGGGUGAUCGGCCACACUGGGACUGAGACACGGCCCAGACGCCUACGGGAGGCAGCAGUAGUGAAUCUUCGGCAAUGGACACAAGUCUGACCGAGCAACGCCGCGUGAGUGAAGAGGGUUUUCGGAUCGUAAAACUCUGUUGUUAGAGAAGAACAAGGAUGAGAGUGGAAAGUUCAUCCCUUGACGGUAUCUAACCAGAAAGCCACGGCUAACUACGUG
RNAcentral lists this ribosomal RNA (507 nucleotides) under uncultured bacterium. RNAcentral's name for it is "partial 16S ribosomal RNA". It matches the Rfam family "Bacterial small subunit ribosomal RNA", at positions 28 to 507 of the family's 1533-position model. The record is from RNAcentral.